Long non-coding RNA from Ornithorhynchus anatinus (platypus), 335 nucleotides. RefSeq lists it as uncharacterized. The transcript has 2 exons. The record is from RefSeq and is a predicted model, not a curated record. Lineage: Eukaryota; Metazoa; Chordata; Mammalia; Monotremata; Ornithorhynchidae.
GGAGAAAAUAGAUCCAUGGAGUCGUUUCGAAUCGGAAACGACUCGACGGCACUGGAUAGUAAUGAUAACGAUAGAGUUGAAGUAGAGUCAGGUCUCGGAUGCUGAGAGCUUGUUUCACCUUGGAAGAAAAAAACUGCCUGUGUGUGAGCAUAUGCUGAUGCUGCUCCCGGCGGCUCUGCUUUCCAAGAUAAUUUCCAGAAAUCACUGCCGGAGGAAUGAGUCUGGAGGAUUUGCAGGCAGAGAGGACAAGGAGUGUACACAGCUCGCUGCAGGAACCAAGCGGUCAAGUGGCUUUGAAAACAUCGAGUAUUAAAAACACAGGCUCCAGAGGGCAA